Molecule: ribosomal RNA, 253 nt
Filed under: uncultured bacterium
Lineage: Bacteria
Description: partial 16S ribosomal RNA
Rfam family: Bacterial small subunit ribosomal RNA
Source: RNAcentral
UACAGAGGUCUCAAGCGUUGUUCGGAUUCAUUGGGCGUAAAGGGUGCGUAGGCGGCGCGGUAAGUCGGGUGUGAAAUCUCGGAGCUUAACUCCGAAACUGCAUUUGAUACUGCCGUGCUUGAGGACUGGAGAGGAGACUGGAAUUCAUGGUGUAGCAGUGAAAUGCGUAGAGAUCAUGAGGAAGACCAGUGGCGAAGGCGGGUCUCUGGACAGUUCCUGACACUGAGACACGAAGGCCAGGGGAGCAAACGGG